Molecule: ribosomal RNA, 468 nt
Filed under: uncultured bacterium
Lineage: Bacteria
Description: partial 16S ribosomal RNA
Rfam family: Bacterial small subunit ribosomal RNA
Source: RNAcentral
GACGAACGCUGGCGGCGUGCUUAACACAUGCAAGUCGAACGGAAAGGCCCUGCUUUUGUGGGGUGCUCGAGUGGCGGACGGGUGAGUAACACGUGAGUAACCUGCCCUUGACUUUGGGAUAACUUCAGGAAACUGGGGCUAAUACCGGAUAGGAGCUCCUGCUGCAUGGUGGGGGUUGGAAAGUUUCGGCGGUUGGGGAUGGGCUCGCGGCUUAUCAGCUUGUUGGUGGGGUAGUGGCUUACCAAGGCUUUGACGGGUAGCCGGCCUGAGAGGGUGACCGGCCACAUUGGGACUGAGAUACGGCCCAGACUCCUACGGGAGGCAGCAGUGGGGAAUAUUGCACAAUGGGCGGAAGCCUGAUGCAGCAACGCCGCGUGCGGGAUGACGGCCUUCGGGUUGUAAACCGCUUUCGCCUGUGACGAAGCGUGAGUGACGGUAAUGGGUAAAGAAGCACCGGCUAACUACGUG